UAGGGAAUCUUCCGCAAUGGACGCAAGUCUGACGGAGCAACGCCGCGUGAGUGAAGAAGGAUUUCGGUUCGUAAAACUCUGUUGUUAGAGAAGAACAGCGCAUAGAGUAACUGUUAUGCGUGUGACGGUAUCUAACAAGAAAGCCACGGCUAACUACGUGCCAGCAGCCGCGGUAAUACGUAGGUGGCAAGCGUUGUCCGGAUUUAUUGGGCGUAAAGCGAGCGCAGGCGGUCAAUUAAGUCUGAUGUGAAAGCCCCCGGCUCAACCGGGGAGGGUCAUUGGAAACUGGUUGACUUGAGUGCAGAAGAGGAGAGUGGAAUUCCAUGUGUAGCGGUGAAAUGCGUAGAUAUAUGGAGGAACACCAGUGGCGAAGGCGACUCUCUGGUCUGUAACUGACGCUGAGGUUCGAAAGCGUGGGUAGCAAACAGG
Molecule: ribosomal RNA, 429 nt
Filed under: Bacteroidota bacterium
Lineage: Bacteria; Pseudomonadati; Bacteroidota
Description: Bacteroidetes bacterium partial 16S ribosomal RNA
Rfam family: Bacterial small subunit ribosomal RNA
Source: RNAcentral